AAUAAAAUAUUGGAGUUUCCUGAUAAUAUGAGUGAUAAAAAGGUUUUACAGCAGUUCUUAGGAAUUGUAAACUAUGCGCGAAACUAUAUAGAUAACUUAGCAAAGCUAGCAGGACCUUUAUAUGCUAAAUUAAGGAAAAAUGGCCAAAAAUACUUCAAUUCUGAAGAUAUAAAAUUAGUAAAGGCCAUCAAGGAAAAGGUCAAGAAUUUAAAACCCCUAGAAUUGCCUCUAGAAGACAAUUAUUUUAUAAUUGAAACAUAUGCAUCUAAGGUAGGAUGGGGUGCGAUACUAAAACAAAAACCCAAUAAAUACUCUCCAAAAGCAGAUGAAAAAAUAUGCAGAUAUGCUUCAGGAAGUUACAAAUUAAAGACAGUAAAUAAUAUUGAUAGAGAAAUCCUUGCAGUUGUAAAUGCAAUAAAUGCAUUUAGGCUAUAUCUAGGAUUUAAAAAAAUUAUAGUGCGAAUGGACUGUGAAGCCAUAUGUCGAUAUUACAAUAAAAUUAAUAGUAAGAAAAGCUCAACCAGAAGAUGGGUGUUAUGUGAAGACACCAUAGCUGGGAAUGGUUAUAAAGUUAUUUUUGAGCAAUUAAGAAGAAAAUAG
RNAcentral lists this ribosomal RNA (600 nucleotides) under Triticum aestivum (bread wheat). RNAcentral describes it as "partial small subunit ribosomal RNA". Lineage: Eukaryota; Viridiplantae; Streptophyta; Magnoliopsida; Poales; Poaceae. The record is from RNAcentral.